RNAcentral lists this ribosomal RNA (235 nucleotides) under uncultured bacterium. Its description in RNAcentral is "partial 16S ribosomal RNA". It matches the Rfam family "Bacterial small subunit ribosomal RNA", at positions 99 to 334 of the family's 1533-position model. The record is from RNAcentral.
CGGACGGGUGAGUAACGCGUGGGUAACCUGCCUCAUACAGGGGGAUAACAGUUAGAAAUGACUGCUAAUACCGCAUAAGACCACAGCACCGCAUGGUGCGGGGGUAAAAACUCCGGUGGUAUGAGAUGGACUCGCGUCUGAUUAGCUAGUUGGUAAGGUAACGGCUUACCAAGGCGACGAUCAGUAGCCGACCUGAGAGGUUGAACGGCCACAUUGGGACUGAGACACGGCCCAG